This 442-nucleotide unclassified non-coding RNA is filed under the name Hevea brasiliensis (rubber tree). The record is from RNAcentral. Lineage: Eukaryota; Viridiplantae; Streptophyta; Magnoliopsida; Malpighiales; Euphorbiaceae.
CUGAGCUUGAACUCUGGCAGGAAGCUUUUCGGUCGAUAGAAGAUAUUCAUGGAUUAAUGUGCAUGGUCAAAAAGACUCCUAAGCCAUCUUUGAUGGUGGUAUACUAUGCCAAGUUAACUGAGAUUUUCUGGAUGUCAUCAAGUCAUCUUUAUCAUGCAUAUGCAUGGUUCAAACUUUUUACACUUCAGAAAAGCUUCAAUAAGAACUUAAGCCAGAAGGAUUUACAGUUGAUAGCCUCGUCUGUUGUGUUGGCUGCGCUAGCAGUUGCUCCCUAUGACCACACUCUUGGCUCAUCUCAUUUGGAACUUGAAAAUGAAAAAGAGCGCAACUUGAGGAUGGCCAAUCUAAUUGGGUUUAAUCUAGACCCAAAACCUGAGAGUAGGGAAGUGCUGUCAAGGUCAUCCCUUCUGUCUGAACUGGUUUCCAAAGGUGUAUUGAGCUG